Molecule: transfer RNA, 87 nt
Filed under: Solirubrobacter pauli
Lineage: Bacteria; Bacillati; Actinomycetota; Thermoleophilia; Solirubrobacterales; Solirubrobacteraceae
Rfam family: tRNA
About the family: Transfer RNA (tRNA) molecules are approximately 80 nucleotides in length. Their secondary structure includes four short double-helical elements and three loops (D, anti-codon, and T loops).
Source: Rfam by way of RNAcentral
GGAGAGGUGCCGGAGCGGCUGAACGGGCACGACUGGAAAUCGUGUGAUGGGGAAACUCAUCCGGGGGUUCGAAUCCCCCUCUCUCCG